UUACUGCUAUCGGUGUUCGCCUAAGCCAUGCGAGUCAUAUGUGUCUUCGUGAACAUGGCGUACUGCUCAGUAACACGUGGAUAACCUGCCCUUGGGGCCGGGAUAACCCCGGGAAACUGGGGAUAAUACCGGAUAACGCAUAUCUGCUGGAAUGCUUUAUGCGUAAAAUGGAUUUGUCUGCCCAAGGAUGGGUCUGCGGCCUAUCAGGUAGUAGUGGGUGUAAUGUACCUACUAGCCUACGACGGGUACGGGUUGUGAGAGCAAGAGCCCGGAGAUGGAUUCUGAGACAUGAAUCCAGGCCCUACGGGGCGCAGCAGGCGCGAAAACUUUACAAUGCGGGAAACCGUGAUAAGGGGACACCGAGUGCCAGCAUCAUAUGUUGGCUGUCCAGAUGUGUAAAAUACAUCUGUUAGCAAGGGCCGGGCAAGACCGGUGCCAGCCGCCGCGGUAACACCGGCGGCCCGAGUGGUGAUCGUGAUUAUUGGGUCUAAAGGGUCCGUAGCCGGGUUUGGUCAGUCCUCCCGGGAAAUCUGACGGCUCAACCCGUUAGGCCUUUCGGGUGGAUACUGCCCAGACUUGGAAACCCGGGAGAGGGUAAGAGGUACUACAGGGGGUAGGAGUGAAAUCUUGUAAUCCCUGUGAGACCACCCUGUGGCGAAGGCGUCUUACCACGAACGGGGUUCGACGGUGAGGGACGAAAGCUGGGGGCACGAACCGGAUUAGAUACCCGGGUAGUCCCAGCCGUAAACGAUGCUCGCUAGGUGUCAGGCAUGGCGCGACCGUGUCUGGUGCCGCAGGGAAGCCGUGAAGCGAGCCACCUGGGAAGUACGGCCGCAAGGCUGAAACUUAAAGGAAUUGGCGGGGGAGCACAACAACGGGUGGAGCCUGCGGUUUAAUUGGACUCAACGCCGGACAACUCACCGGGGACGACAGCAAUAUGUAGGCCAGGCUAAAGACCUUGCCUGAAUCGCUGAGAGGAGGUGCAUGGCCGUCGCCAGUUCGUACUGUGAAGCAUCCUGUUA
RNAcentral lists this ribosomal RNA (1022 nucleotides) under uncultured euryarchaeote. Its description in RNAcentral is "bacterial SSU rRNA". It matches the Rfam family "Archaeal small subunit ribosomal RNA", at positions 24 to 1031 of the family's 1478-position model. The record is from RNAcentral. Lineage: Archaea; Methanobacteriati; Methanobacteriota.